Molecule: ribosomal RNA, 319 nt
Filed under: uncultured eukaryote
Lineage: Eukaryota
Description: partial 18S ribosomal RNA
Rfam family: Eukaryotic small subunit ribosomal RNA
Source: RNAcentral
CCCUUAGAUGGUCUGGGCGGCACGCGCACUACAAUGAUGCAUUCAAAAAGUCUUCUGACCUUAGAAGGUUGGGUAUUCUCCAAAGUGCAUCGUGAUGGGAAUAGUUUAUUGCAAUUUUUAAUCUUGAACGAGGAAUUCCUAGUAAGUACAGGUCAUCAACUUGUGUUGAUUACGUCCCUGCCCUUUGUACACACCGCCCGUCGCUCCUACUGAUUGAGUGUCUCGGUGAAUUCUUUGAUCUUCUGUCGAUUCAGUUCACUGAUCCGACGGUGGAAAGUUGAAUGAACUUCGUCACUUAGAGGAAGGAGAAGUCGUAACA